GAGGAGUUAGUCUAAAAAGACAGCUGAUUUCGACUCAGCAGAUUAUGGCCAAACCCCAUAACUCCUCU
This 68-nucleotide transfer RNA is filed under the name Leptophryne borbonica (Java tree toad). RNAcentral's name for it is "tRNA-Arg". It matches the Rfam family "tRNA". From Rfam's summary of the family: Transfer RNA (tRNA) molecules are approximately 80 nucleotides in length. Their secondary structure includes four short double-helical elements and three loops (D, anti-codon, and T loops). The record is from RNAcentral. Lineage: Eukaryota; Metazoa; Chordata; Amphibia; Anura; Bufonidae.